GAUGAAGAACGCAGCGAAAUGCGAUAAGUAAUGUGAAUUGCAGAAUUCAGUGAAUCAUCGAAUCUUUGAACGCACAUUGCGCCCGCCAGUAUUCUGGCGGGCAUGCCUGUCCGAGCGUCAUUUCAACCAUCAAGCCCCCGGGCUUGUGUUGGGGACCUGCGGCUGCCCGCAGGCCCUGAAGACCAGUGGCGGGCUCGCUGUCACACCGAGCGUAGUAGCAAUCACCUCGCUCAGGGCGUGCUGCGGGUUCCGGCCGUUAAACAGCCUUACAAAACCCAAGGUUGACCUCGGAUCAGGUAGGAAGACCCGCUGAACUUAAGCAUAUCAAUAAGCGGAGGA
Molecule: unclassified non-coding RNA, 339 nt
Filed under: soil metagenome
Description: partial contains 5.8S ribosomal RNA, internal transcribed spacer 2, and large subunit ribosomal RNA
Rfam family: 5.8S ribosomal RNA (bases 1-120)
Source: RNAcentral